Molecule: long non-coding RNA, 390 nt
Filed under: Pan troglodytes (chimpanzee)
Lineage: Eukaryota; Metazoa; Chordata; Mammalia; Primates; Hominidae
Description: long non-coding RNA NONPTRT007863
Source: RNAcentral
CUCCCACUCCUCCUGCCAAGUAGCUGGGACUACAGAUGUGCACCAUCACCCCUGAGUGGAUGUGGGAACCACCAUGGAGAGUGGGACUCCCAUAAGCCCACUGUUCAAGAUGCCCCAGCAAACUGGUCAGUUGUAAACGUUGCUGCAGGUCCCUGAAAAAACUGCUUAUUUGACUUUUGAAAAUUGUCCAAUUUACCUAGCUUGGGGACAUUAGAUUCUAGCUCAGCAUACAUAUGGCGGAAAGGAGAGGAAAGAGAAAGGAGAAGAGAAAUAUUCAAAGAAACGAUGGCCUAAAAUUUCCCAAAAUUAACAACAAAAACUCAAUAAUCUACACAAAUCUACACACCAUGAAAAACUCCAAAGACACAUCAUAAUAAAAAUGCCAAAAGG